CCGAGGGCGGGCCCUCGCGGCCCAACACUCCCACCCUUGUCUCUAUACACCUGUUGCUUUGGCGGGCCCACCGGGGCCACCUGGUCGCCGGGGGGGACGUACGUCCGCCGGGCCCGCCCGGCCCGCGCGAAGCGCGCUGUGAACCACUGAUGAAGAUGGGUCUGUCUGAGUACUAUGAAAAAUCUGUCA
This 189-nucleotide unclassified non-coding RNA is filed under the name soil metagenome. RNAcentral's name for it is "partial internal transcribed spacer 1". The record is from RNAcentral.